This 431-nucleotide ribosomal RNA is filed under the name uncultured bacterium. Its description in RNAcentral is "partial 16S ribosomal RNA". It matches the Rfam family "Bacterial small subunit ribosomal RNA", at positions 29 to 507 of the family's 1533-position model. The record is from RNAcentral.
AACGAACGCUGGCGGCAGGCUUAACACAUGCAAGUCGAGCGCCCCGCAAGGGGAGCGGCAGACGGGUGAGUAACGCGUGGGAACGUACCUUUUGGUUCGGAACAACUCCGGGAAACUGGAGCUAAUACCGGAUAAGCCCUAACGGGGAAAGAUUUAUCGCCGAAAGAUCGGCCCGCGUCUGAUUAGCUAGUUGAUGAGGUAACGGCUCACCAAGGCGACGAUCAGUAGCUGGUCUGAGAGGAUGAUCAGCCACACUGGGACUGAGACACGGCCCAGACUCCUACGGGAGGCAGCAGUGGGGAAUAUUGGACAAUGGGCGCAAGCCUGAUCCAGCCAUGCCGCGUGAGUGAUGAAGGCCUUAGGGUUGUAAAGCUCUUUUGUCCGGGAAGAUAAUGACUGUACCGGAAGAAUAAGCCCCGGCUAACUUCGUG